AGAGGUCACACCCGUUCCCAUGCCGAACACGGAAGUUAAGCUCUUCAGCGCCGAUGGUAGUUGGGGGCUUCCCCCUGCGAGAGUAGGACGCCGCCAAGC
Molecule: ribosomal RNA, 99 nt
Filed under: Bacillus paralicheniformis
Lineage: Bacteria; Bacillati; Bacillota; Bacilli; Caryophanales; Bacillaceae
Source: RNAcentral